Molecule: ribosomal RNA, 494 nt
Filed under: uncultured bacterium
Lineage: Bacteria
Description: partial 16S ribosomal RNA
Rfam family: Bacterial small subunit ribosomal RNA
Source: RNAcentral
GACGAACGCUGGCGGCGUGCUUAACACAUGCAAGUCGAACGGUGAAGCGCCUUCCUUUUUGGUGGGUGUGGAUGAGUGGCGAACGGGUGAGUAACACGUGAGUAACCUGCCCCCUUCUUCUGGAUAACCGCAUGAAAGUGUGGCUAAUACGGGAUAUUCUGGGUCUGUCGCAUGAUGGGUCUGGGAAAGAUAUUGUUUCGGUGGGGGAUGGGCUCGCGGCCUAUCAGCUUGUUGGUGGGGUGAUGGCCUACCAAGGCGGUGACGGGUAGCCGGCCUGAGAGGGUGGACGGUCACACUGGGACUGAGACACGGCCCAGACUCCUACGGGAGGCAGCAGGGGGGAAUAUUGCACAAUGGGCGCAAGCCUGAUGCAGCGACGCCGCGGGAGGGAUGGAGGCCUUCGGGUUGUGAACCUCUUUCGCCAGUGAAGCAGGCCUGCCUCGUUUGUGGGUGGGUUGACGGUAGCUGGAGAAGAAGCGCCGGCUAACUACGUG